UACGGAAGGGGCAAGCGUCGUUCGGAAUCAUUGGGCGUAAAGGGCGCGUAGGUGGCUCUGUAUGUCUGCCGUGAAAGCAUACAGCUCAACUGUAUUGUGUCGGUAGAAACUGCAGGACUUGAGGCUGGGAGGGGCUGGUGGAAUUCCCUGUGUAGCGGUGAAAUGCGUAGAGAUGGGGGAGAACACUCGUGGCGAAGGCGGCCAGCUAGACCAGUUCUGACACUGAGGCGCGACAGCGUGGGGAGCAAACAGG
This 253-nucleotide ribosomal RNA is filed under the name uncultured bacterium. Its description in RNAcentral is "partial 16S ribosomal RNA". It matches the Rfam family "Bacterial small subunit ribosomal RNA", at positions 524 to 776 of the family's 1533-position model. The record is from RNAcentral.